UCCCCACCCCACCCCACCCCACCCCCACCCGCCAAGCCCAAGUGUGUGCUCCUUGCCCACCCUCGGUUUCUGGUGUCUGCGGGUGGGUGUUUAGAUAGCGCCAUCCGUUGCGUCGUUUAGAGUCCACCAACAGGUGAUGUCCUAGGGCACUUGUCUUUUUCCUUUCUGGCUUCCUUCGCUUAGCCUGAGGGUCUCUCGUUCCAGCCCCGCGGCGGCAGAUGGCACUCGUUCUGCCGCUUUUUCCUGGCUGUGUGCGAUGCCAUCGCAUAGAUGUCCCCGGGUCUGCGAAGUGCACUCACCUGUCAGUGGACCUUUAGGUGGCUUCCAGAUCUUGGCUCUGCCCCGCGGCGGCAGAUGGCACUCGUUCUGCCGCUUUUUCCUGGCUGUGUGCGAUGCCAUCGCAUAGAUGUCCCCGGCUGCGAAGUGCACUCACCUGUCAGUGGACCUUUAGGUGGCUUCCAGAUCUUGGCUCUGGUGAGUAGUGCGGCGACAGACAGAGGGGUGCCCGGGUCUGCUUCCGGGAAAGUUUGGUCCCGGUGAAAUGGAGCUG
This 550-nucleotide long non-coding RNA is filed under the name Sus scrofa (pig). RNAcentral's name for it is "lncRNA (ENSSSCG00070006311.1)". The record is from RNAcentral. Lineage: Eukaryota; Metazoa; Chordata; Mammalia; Artiodactyla; Suidae.